Long non-coding RNA from Solanum stenotomum, 176 nucleotides. RefSeq lists it as uncharacterized. The transcript is spliced from 2 exons. The record is from RefSeq and is a predicted model, not a curated record. Lineage: Eukaryota; Viridiplantae; Streptophyta; Magnoliopsida; Solanales; Solanaceae.
AUUUGAUGAUGUAACUACUGUUUAAACAGUACUUUUGGAAAAAUAGCUUUAGCAAAGUUGGGAAUGUCGCAUCAGAACUUAGGUUGUAUAAGUUUUUGGGGUUAUAUUGUGACAUCCAAACGAUAUUUGAUGAUUUCAUGUUAUUUUGUGUUGCAUUGGUAGUUUAGUAUGCUGAA